Molecule: non-coding RNA, 219 nt
Filed under: Pelosinus fermentans
Lineage: Bacteria; Bacillati; Bacillota; Negativicutes; Selenomonadales; Sporomusaceae
Description: T-box sequence
Rfam family: T-box leader
About the family: Uncharged tRNA acts as the effector for transcription antitermination of genes in the T-box leader family. T-boxes are found upstream of many aminoacyl-tRNA synthetase genes and some amino acid biosynthetic genes usually in Gram-positive bacteria.
Source: RNAcentral
GUAACUACAAUGAUAGAGAAGAGUAUGUUAGUGCCAGUUUAUACAGGGAGGAUGCUGUCGUAGAUUGAGAACAGUUCCAAAACGGUUAACAGAAGUUCGCUCUGGAGUAAUCUGUGCUGAAGAAAUGAUUUUUGUGUAAGCCAGACGUUCCUUUCUGCGUUAAAGAAAGUUGAGUACUAAUUAGGGUGGUACCGCGGGAGUAAGGCUUUCGCCCCUUGC